UGACCCUGAACCAGAAAGGAACUGAAAAAUUGACUGGUUGAACUCCCUGAAACAAAUGAUGCUUGAGUGGUUUCAUGCAUAAUAACUGCCUUGAAUGUAAAUAGGGCCAUCAGUCAGCAGGGCCCCCAGGAACUUCCUGUUCUAGGACACCCCCAGCAAGUCAGGGCCCCUCCUGACCAGGGACCAAGGCUUCGGAGAAGACUCUGGAGAAGGCUCGGAGGAAACUGGGAAGCUGGUUCUUUGGCCCAAAGUGCUUUUACAGCCUACCUGUAUUUUACCGGCCCUCCUAGACGGGGGGAACUCCCCUGUCCUCUGCAGGAAUGUCAAAAGCCACCCAUCUUUAACCACCUAAUGCUCCCAUCAGCAGAGAGGCACACAGCACAGUGAACGUCGAGCAUGCACACCAGGAAGCCCAGGUUCGAGUUCUGACCGUCACUUACUGGUGGUAAUGAUGGUACUAGAUGUCAGAGUCAAGGGAGCUGAGGAAGGCAUCCAAGUAAGGAGGUGGCGUGGGCACUCCCUGACAAGGCUACACGAGUGCAG
This 543-nucleotide long non-coding RNA is filed under the name Homo sapiens (human). RNAcentral describes it as "HSALNT0136739". The record is from RNAcentral. Lineage: Eukaryota; Metazoa; Chordata; Mammalia; Primates; Hominidae.